This 1637-nucleotide long non-coding RNA is filed under the name Citrus x clementina. Its description in RNAcentral is "Citrus clementina (C. clementina) long non-coding RNA (CCLE_LNC003182)". Lineage: Eukaryota; Viridiplantae; Streptophyta; Magnoliopsida; Sapindales; Rutaceae. The record is from RNAcentral.
CCCCACCGAACGCGUCCGCCGCCUCCCGAUCCCGCCCCGCGGUCCCCCCCGGGGCAUGAACCGCCCCCCGGCGGGCCGAAACCGGCCAAACUGGCAAAACCGCCCCGAUCAUGCCCGUUUUUCGGCGUUCUAACCGCCGCGCGGCUACCCCCCCAUCCCGAUGCCCCCGGACCCCUGGUCCCGUGGGACCUGACGGAAACGGAGUCGGAUGCCCGGAUCAUGAGAUACGCCCAAAACCGUCUAAACCUACUGAGCGCACCCCGAACAUGCCCAUUUUUCGGCGUUCAAACCGCUGCGCGGCUACCCCCCCAUCCCGAUGCCCCCGGAACCCUGGUCCCGCGGGACCCGACGGAAACGGAAUCGGAGGCCCGGAUCAUGAGUUACGGCCCCUUCUUUGCGGCCCCCGAGGACGUGCGCUAUAGCCCCCCGGGCCACCCCCCAUCCGGCCGCACCCGCCCGAACCCCACCGAACGCGUCCGCCGCCUCCCGAUCCCGCCCCGCGGUCCCCCCCGGGGCAUGAACCGCCCCCCGGCGGGCCGAAACCGGCCAAACCGGCAAAACCGCCCCGAUCAUGCCCGUUUUUCGGCGUUCAAACCGCCGCGCGGCUACCCCCCCAUCCCGAUGCCCCCGGACCCCUGGUCCCGUGGGACCUGACGGAAACGGAAUCGGAUGCCCGGAUCAUGAGAUACGCCCAAAACCGUCUAAACCUACUGAGCGCACCCCGAACAUGCCCAUUUUUUGGCGUUCAAACCGCCGCGCGGCUACCCCCCCAUCCCGAUGCCCCCGGAACCCUGGUCCCGCGGGACCCGACGGAAACGGAAUCGGAGGCCCGGAUCAUGAGUUACGGCCCCUUCUUUGCGGCCCCCGAGGACGUGCGCUAUAGCCCCCCGGGCCACCCCCCAUCCGGCCGCACCCGCCCGAACCCCACCGAACGCGUCCGCCGCCUCCCGAUCCCGCCCCGCGGUCCCCCCCGGGGCAUGAACCGCCCCCCGGCGGGCCGAAACCGGCCAAACCGGCAAAACGACCCAAUCAUGCCCGUUUUUCGGCGUUCAAACCGCCGCGCGGCUACCCCCCCAUCCCGAUGCCCCCGGAACCCUGGUCCCGCGGGACCCGACGGAAACGGAAUCGGAGGCCCGGAUCAUGAGUUACGGCCCCUUCUUUGCGGCCCCCGAGGACGUGCGCUAUAGCCCCCCGGGCCACCCCCCAUCAGGCCGCACCCGCCCGAACCCCACCGAACGCGUCCGCCGCCUCCCGAUCCCGCCCCGAGGUCCCCCCCGGGGCAUGAACCGCCCCCCGGCGGGCCGAAACCGGCCAAACAGGCAAAACCGCCCCGAUCAUGCCCGUUUUUCGGCGUUCAAACCGCCGCGCGUCUACCCCCCCAUCCCGAUGCCCCCGGACCCCUGGUCCCGUGGGACCUGACGGAAACGGAGUCGGAUGCCCGGAUCAUGAGAUACGCCCAAAACCGUCUAAACCUACUGAGCGCACCCCGAACAUGCCCAUUUUUCGGCGUUCAAACCGCCGCGCGGCUACCCCCCCAUCCCGAUGCCCCCGGAACCCUGGUCCCGCGGGACCCGACGGAAACGGAAUUGGAGGCCCGGAUCAUGAGUUACGGCCCCUUCUUUGCGGCCCCCGAGGNN